UACGUAGGCAGCGAGCGUUGUUCGGAGUUACUGGGCGUAAAGGGUGUGUAGGCGGUCCUCCAAGUUUGGUGUGAAAUCUCCCGGCUCAACCGGGAGGGUGCGCCGAAAACUGGGGGGCUAGAGUGCGGGAGGGGAGAGUGGAAUUCCUGGUGUAGCGGUGAAAUGCGUAGAUAUCAGGAGGAACACCGGUGGUGUAGACGGCUCUCUGGACCGUAACUGACGCUGAGACACGAAAGCGUGGGUAGCAAACAGG
RNAcentral lists this ribosomal RNA (253 nucleotides) under uncultured bacterium. RNAcentral describes it as "partial 16S ribosomal RNA". It matches the Rfam family "Bacterial small subunit ribosomal RNA", at positions 524 to 776 of the family's 1533-position model. The record is from RNAcentral.